CUUGACUGUGUUUACUGAUGGAUCUGGAAAAAUGGGGAAGUCAGUCAUAGUAUGGCAAGACCCACAUACUCAAAUUUGGCAGUCAGACAUUACUCGAUCCCUGGGAUCGCCACAGAUUGUUGAGCUAGCUGCAGUAGUCCAUGUAUUUCAAAACUGGGACAGCCCAAUUAACAUUGUUACUGAUUCUGCUUAUGUACAGAUCUUGUACAGCGUAUAGAGAAUUUGUGUCUGCAGGAUGUUAAUAAUCCACUGUUAUAUUCAUAAUGCACAGCCUUUUACAAUUAUUAAAUAAUCGCAAGACUUCUUAUUUUAUUAUACAUAUUCGAGUGCAUACUGCACUACCUGGACCUUUGGUUGAAGGCAAUCGAUGAGCAGAUGCGUUGACUCUGGCGGCUCAGGUGGUACCUAAUGUUUUUGAGGAAGCACAGCUUUCACAUGCAUUUUUCCACCAAAACACCAGGGCAAUACAAAACCAGUUUUCUUUAUCAAGGCGUCAGGCUAAAGACAUCACUGAGACUUGCUCUGAAUGCCAGGACUCCUUCUCUUCAACAGCUAGUGGUGACAACCCUCAGGGACUCACCUCGUUAGAAUUAUGGCAAUCUGACCUCACUCACCUGCUGCAUUUGGAAUAUAAAAAUAUGUGCAUGUGUCUGUUGAUACCUUUUCUUAAGCAGUGUUUGCGUCCUGCCAUACAGUGGGGAGUCAAGCCUCUGACCGGCAUUCCCCACUCAUCGAUUGGGCAGGCCAUUGUGGAGCGUAUGCAUGGCACACUAAAGCAUCUAUUACAACAA
Long non-coding RNA from Athene cunicularia (burrowing owl), 791 nucleotides. RefSeq lists it as uncharacterized. Lineage: Eukaryota; Metazoa; Chordata; Aves; Strigiformes; Strigidae. The record is from RefSeq and is a predicted model, not a curated record. The transcript has 2 exons.